GACCUGUGUCUAGGGGCCGUGGGAAAAUUGGCAAAGAAAGGAUCCAGCCUAAGGUGACUUCCCAGAUAGCUCCUGCUCUACUGCUCUCUUGGUAGUUUCACACGGUGUGAGGCAGAACAACAUUCCAAUCAUGUGAAGCUCAUUCAUGAAGAGAAUUCUGCCUGGACCUGAAGGCAGAAGGUUGCCAGAUAGUUCUGAGGGGUUCAGAGGCCUGCCUGCUCAUCAAAGCCAAGGACGGAUGUGCCAGUUGUUCUUUCAGGAAACCUACAAAUAGUAUUCCUUACUCCUUGAAUCUUGAUCCUAUUGAGACAGGAAGAAACUAAAUUAGGCCCAGUUUUGGAUUGAGGAUGGAAUCAGCAGCACCAGAUACUGACAUCUUCCCUGAACAGAAUUCAAGCAAAACUCCAAGAUUUUUUUACCUGAACCAUUAGAAGGAUGGACUUGCCAUCAGCUGUGAUGCAAAGAAUUAGAGAUUGAUGAGAUUAUUGGGGGAAUGAUAAAGUAUUCAUUUUUAGAUUAUUUUACUUUCAGAUGAAUAUUAUAUAUUCAAGUGUAGAAGUUAGUAGGAAGUUAAAUACAUGAGUCUGGAAUUCAGGAGAGAAUUCAAGGGUGGAGUUACAAGUGUGGGAGUCAUAGCCACAUAGAUGAUAUUUAAGGUCAUGAUUCAGUAUGAAAUCACUGAGGUCUGUUGUCUUUCUCUACUUUGAAAUCCUCUUCUCCUCCUUUUCAUUCUGCAGCUUCUCUGUUUUCCAGGGUCAGAAGAGAGAUAGAGUGAUAUCAAGGAAGAGGGCAAAAAUUCUUUUUAUUUAAUUGGCACUGUCCAUUGUUCUUUCUUGGCUAUCGCUGGUUGAUCUUGCAUUAUUUUAUUACAAGCUAUACAUGUUAGCUUUUUUGGACAUAUUUGUUAGUUCUUCAGAUACUCCUACACAAAAUACUCUGCAUCAUUUCUUUCUCUGAUGGAGGCAGGAUGGACUCAGGACCACACUUCUCUCAAAUUCUGCCCUGCCAGUUUUUGCUUAUUCUUCCUGCUGGUAAGAAAGAUCUAACAGGAGACUCCUGUGUAAUAUCCCAUAAAGAUGACUUACAUCAUUCUAUUUAUAACUAUGUAAAAAUGUGUAUACAUGGUAAAAUAGACUACAUAAGAUACACUAAAAUGAUGGCAGUAAUUAUGUUAAUAUUGGAUAAUUACUUUCUCAUCUAUUUUCCAAAAUACAUUAGAGUCUGAUUAAAUUUAUUUUUCAAUAAAAAUUAUAGAUAU
Molecule: long non-coding RNA, 1258 nt
Organism: Sciurus carolinensis (gray squirrel)
Lineage: Eukaryota; Metazoa; Chordata; Mammalia; Rodentia; Sciuridae
Exons: 4
Source: RefSeq, a predicted model, not a curated record